Molecule: unclassified non-coding RNA, 573 nt
Filed under: Hevea brasiliensis (rubber tree)
Lineage: Eukaryota; Viridiplantae; Streptophyta; Magnoliopsida; Malpighiales; Euphorbiaceae
Source: RNAcentral
UUAAGUUACGCCACAUAUAUUGCACUAGAACCUUCUUUGUUUCAAUGUCAUUUCUAGUUUUUUUUUAGGUUCUAGAGCUUUUCUAGUUUCCAUGACAAGUCACAAGUAUCAUAAGUGCGGUCCAUUAUUCAGUUCCUUCAUAAAUUAUGUGAGCCCAAGAGUUUCUUUUUGCGUUAAUCCUCCGUAAAUCAUCGAGGAAAAUGCCCCCAUGAAACUGUAACGUCUAACUUCCAUCUAAUAUUUCAGAUAUUGACAGUUUAAUCCUUUACAUGGGUUCUGCUACAAAAAAGUUAUGAAAUUUCUUUGGAUGUUGUCAAAAUAUCAGAACUGGUCAAAGGGUGGCCAAUUCCAAUUCUCAGGGCAGAUGUACUGUAAUGUUCUUGACUUGUUAUUUUCAUGUUCUAAAGAAACCAUAGUUGCUACGAUUUGGACAAUUAUAAACUAAUUUCAUGUUUUGGAAUGAACGACAUGAAGUAACAGUAACAAAAUUGUAGGUAAUAACAUUAGUUUCUGGAUAUUCUAGGCACUUGAAAGUAAUUUCUGCAAUACAUAGGUUUCUUCAAGGACCUGAAA